This 254-nucleotide unclassified non-coding RNA is filed under the name uncultured Sordariales. RNAcentral describes it as "sequence contains 5.8S rRNA gene, ITS2, 28S rRNA gene". The stretch from base 1 to 52 matches the Rfam family "5.8S ribosomal RNA", at positions 103 to 154 of the family's 154-position model. Lineage: Eukaryota; Fungi; Ascomycota; Sordariomycetes; Sordariales. The record is from RNAcentral.
AACGCACAUUGCGCCCGCCAGUAUUCUGGCGGGCAUGCCUGUCCGAGCGUCAUUUCAACCAUCAAGCCCCCCUGGCUUGUGUUGGGGACCUGCGGCUGCCCGCAGGCCCUGAAAUUCAGUGGCGGGCUCGCUGACACACCGAGCGUAGUAGCAUCAAGCUCGCUCAGGGCGUGCCGCGGGUGCCGGCCGUGAAAACCAGCUUCGAUUAGCGCUAGGUUGACCUCGGAUCAGGUAGGAAGACCCGCUGAACUUAA